Molecule: ribosomal RNA, 255 nt
Filed under: uncultured bacterium
Lineage: Bacteria
Description: partial 16S ribosomal RNA
Rfam family: Bacterial small subunit ribosomal RNA
Source: RNAcentral
UACGAAGGGGGGCUAGCGUUGUUCGGAAUUACUGGGCGUAAAGCGUGCGCAGGCGGUUGUGUAAGACAGAUGUGAAAUCCCCGGGCUCAACCUGGGAACUGCAUUUGUGACUGCACAGCUGGAGUGCGGCAGAGGGGGAUGGAAUUCCGCGUGUAGCAGUGAAAUGCGUAGAUAUGCGGAGGAACACCGAUGGCGAAGGCAAUCCCCCUGGGCCUGCACUGACGCUCAUGCACGAAAGCGUGGGGAGCGAACAGG